GUGAUCUCCACGGCCGAGGGCUCCUCCCGCCGGCCCAGCAUCCACGACUGCAUGGCCAAGGACCCGCGCCCGCCCGUCUCCAUCGACCCCGGCCCCGCCCGCGCCGCGCCCGCCAGCAAGGCCUCGCCCAAGGGAAAAGUGCGCUGCCCGUCUGACGGCUCCCGACCUCCGCUCUCCAGUCCCAAGAGACUGUAACCUCUGCUUUUCUAGAACAAUCUGAGAUGAAUCCAGUAAAACUAAAGAUCUCCGCUUUCCACUUUCCUUGAAUCAAGGAAAGCUUUCUCAAUGUGUCACACAGAGCUGCCAGGACAGGACAGACAGUAUGAUUCAACAUUAUGACCAAUGUUCUGCGUCAAGUUUUUUUUUCUCUGUGUGACUGAAUUUGUGAAAGGCACGGACCAUUACACACCGCAGUGCGUUCAGUGUUGAAUUUCUCUCGAGCCCCCGUGAACACUCGAGCUGAGGGUCUGUCUGAAGUGGCUGACGCUGCGUUUUUAAACUUUCCUCACUCGCCGUAACCAUCGAACACAAACUGCUUUGUGUAAUGCCUUCUCUGAGGACACGGGCAAGCCCACGCCGCCUGGCGUUUUACCAUCAGAGAUCAAGGGCCCCCGGGAUCACAUUUCUUCCAGGUCUUAAGGGGUACGUUUCGGAACACAAAACAUAGGCAGCCUCUCAUGUGAGUGCCACGUUUUGAGCCCAGGGGAUUGGACUGUUUUGACCUUAUCACAAAUCUGUGGGUUUCUGAACAUGAGUUUCUCCAAAAUAGGUAUGUAUACGAAAGUGUCAUUCACUGGAGCCUGUUUUUUGUUUUGUUCCAUCCAUUAGGUCCAAAAAGGUGAUGGCAAAUUCUGUGCGACUACUCGAGGAAUGAACUGAUUAUUGUUUAACUGUUAUUUAAUGUACUUGACUCCACCUUUCAAAUAAGAAACAAACUAGAAUAGAAGUUUGAGACAAACUUCAGGUGGUUUGAAAAGCCAAGUAUGUAUAACCCCUUCAACUUCAUCUGCAUUUUCAAUAAAACCGUUGUCUGUC
Molecule: long non-coding RNA, 1035 nt
Organism: Conger conger (European conger)
Lineage: Eukaryota; Metazoa; Chordata; Actinopteri; Anguilliformes; Congridae
Exons: 2
Source: RefSeq, a predicted model, not a curated record